This 68-nucleotide transfer RNA is filed under the name uncultured Bifidobacterium sp. It matches the Rfam family "tRNA". Rfam says of the family: Transfer RNA (tRNA) molecules are approximately 80 nucleotides in length. Their secondary structure includes four short double-helical elements and three loops (D, anti-codon, and T loops). The record is from RNAcentral. Lineage: Bacteria; Bacillati; Actinomycetota; Actinomycetes; Bifidobacteriales; Bifidobacteriaceae.
CGGACGUAGCUCAAUGGUAGAGUCUCAGUCUUCCAAACUGAUUACGCGGGUUCGAUUCCCGUCGUCCG